AUUGAACGCUGGCGGAAUGCUUUACACAUGCAAGUCGAACGGCAGCACGGGGCAACCUGGUGGCGAGUGGCGAACGGGUGAGUAAUACAUCGGAACGUGCCCAAUCGUGGGGGAUAACGUAGCGAAAGUUACGCUAAUACCGCAUACGAUCUACGGAUGAAAGCGGGGGGAUCGCAAGACCUCGCGCGAAUGGAGCGGCCGAUGUCAGAUUAGGUAGUUGGUGGGGUAAAGGCUCACCAAGCCAACGAUCUGUAGCUGGUCUGAGAGGAUGACCAGCCACACUGGAACUGAGACACGGUCCAGACUCCUACGGGAGGCAGCAGUGGGGAAUUUUGGACAAUGGGCGCAAGCCUGAUCCAGCCAUUCCGCGUGCAGGAUGAAGGCCUUCGGGUUGUAAACUGCUUUUGUACGGUAACGAAACGGUCUGCCCUAAUACGGUGGGCUAAUGACGGUACCGUAAGAAUAAGACACCGGCUAACUACGUGCCAGCAGCCGCGGUAAGCUCG
RNAcentral lists this ribosomal RNA (506 nucleotides) under uncultured bacterium. RNAcentral's name for it is "bacterial SSU rRNA". It matches the Rfam family "Bacterial small subunit ribosomal RNA", at positions 30 to 527 of the family's 1533-position model. The record is from RNAcentral.